AUGGCCUGGGCUCUGCUCCUCCUCAGCCUCCUCUCUCAGGGCACAGGGUCCUGGGCCCAGGCGGCCCUCACUCAGCCUCCAUCCGUGUCCGGGAACCCGGGACAGUCAGUCACCAUCUCUUGUGCUGGGAGCAUCAGUGAUGUCGGUUAUUCUAAUUACGUCUCCUGGUACCAACAGCGCCCGGGCAUGGUCCCCAAACUCCUGAUUUAUUCUGACAGCUCUCGGCCCUCAGGGAUCCCUGAGCGCUUCUCUGGCUCCAAGUCUGGCAACACGGCCACCCUGACCAUCUCUGGGCUGCAGACUGAGGACGAGGCUGACUAUUACUGCUGCUCAUAUAGGUUUGGUAGCACUCUCCACAGUGGUGCAGGCUCAUGGGGAAGUGAGACCAAAACCCGCCUUGGGCUCCCAGGCACCCUCCUUGCUCUGAAGAGCUCCCCUCCCUGA
This is a non-coding RNA of Eptesicus fuscus (big brown bat), 444 nucleotides long. The record is from the annotation of a RefSeq genome assembly. Lineage: Eukaryota; Metazoa; Chordata; Mammalia; Chiroptera; Vespertilionidae.